AGGUCUUGGUCUUGAACCUCCUAUUACCUCUACCCCCUAAUUAUACAUGCAAGCCUCACCACAACAGUGAAACAACCCACCACAAUCAAACAUGGAGUUGGUAUCAGGCUCCCGCCCACAACACCAAGCAACAGCCACACCCCCACGGGCUAGCAGCAGUAGCUAAUAUUAGGCCAUAAGCACCUCAGCUUGACCUAGUAAGGGGGUUUUAAGGGCCGGUUAAUCUCGUGCCAGCGACCGCGGUUACACGACAGACCCAAGAUAAUAGUACCGGCGUAAAGCACGACCAGAAAACAGUUCAACAUGUUGGGAUGAAAUCAAACCAGGCUGUAAAAAGCCAUAAGCCCCUCUAACCCCACCCCAAUAUACAAACCACUUCAACUCGUGAAAACAGGAAUACAAACUAAGAUUAGAUACCUUACUAUGCCUAACCUAACACACAAUAAAUUACCAAUUGUUCGCCAAACAACUACGAGUAAAAACUUAAAACUUAAAAGACUUGACGGUACUUCACACCACCCUAGAGGAGCCUGUCUAAUAACCGAUACCCCACGAUUAACCCCACCCCCCCUAGCCUAACAGUCUAUAUACCGCCAUCGCCAGCUUACCUUGUGAAAGAAACAAAGUAAACACAACAGCCACCACUAAUACGAUAGGUCGAGGUGUAACUCAUGGGGGGGAAAGAGAUGGGCUACAUUUUCUAAUACAGAAAAUACGAACUGACUAUGAAAAUAGAAACCGAAGGCGGAUUUAGCAGUACAUUAAGGACAUAAUGCUUAAUUGAAACAAAUGCAAUGAAGUGCGUACACACCGCCCGUCAUCCCUGUAAAAAACCACAAACAUCCAUAAAACCACUUAACCAACCAAACAGGGCAAGUCGUAACAUGGUAAGCGUACUGGAAAGUGCGCUUA
Molecule: non-coding RNA, 912 nt
Filed under: Natrix maura (viperine water snake)
Lineage: Eukaryota; Metazoa; Chordata; Lepidosauria; Squamata; Natricidae
Source: RNAcentral